RNA transcript from Quercus robur (English oak), 3387 nucleotides. It is a transcript of the gene named protein root UVB sensitive 6-like, with no coding region annotated. The transcript has 4 exons. Lineage: Eukaryota; Viridiplantae; Streptophyta; Magnoliopsida; Fagales; Fagaceae. The record is from RefSeq and is a predicted model, not a curated record.
UUUUUGGAAAAUCAGCAUUUCAUUUUGGGUUGAAAGUCGCACGUGCAACGCUCAUGUCGCUGAGGCCAGUCUUUUCAAUUUUUUUUUCUCUCUCUCACUUUCCCUCCCCCUUUCUUCACUUUGAACGCCGUAACCGAUACAAGGUGGCGGUGGAUGCCUAUGAGGGUCACCGGAGAUCCACAAGAGCAAAAGCGAGGAGAGCUUACAGAAGAAGCGCCUUCGAGCCACUCACCAGCAAUCCUUCUCUUCCUCUCUUCACCACCACCGUCAAAAAGAAGGUAACUUCUACUGCUACUGUCAUCCAAUUCAAUGUUGUUGAUGAUCAUCCGUGCUUUUCUAGGGUUUCACUGUUUGAACAUUCAAAAAACCUAGAUUUGGAGUUUCGGGAAUAGAGGUUUUUGCUGAUAUUCUGGUCCAGCGGUUGAUUCAUUGUUACAGCUACGAUUUACGAGUGAUCUCCUUAUGGAGCUGGAUGCUGGUGUGGAGUUGGCAACUGCAUCUGUGCCACACCCUUUUCUUCCUUUGGGUGGUGCUGCUAACAUAGUAAAGGUUUGAUGGCUUUUUCAUGACACCAUCUGUCAUGGUCAUGUUAGUCGUGCACUCUCAUAUUCUGUACUCUUUGCUUGUAGAAUGUGGUUGCUGUAACAUUAACAUCAACUCGUACUCCAAUUUACAAAGCCUUUGCCAAAGGAGAAAACAUUGGGGAUGUAAUUGCUAAAGGAGAAUGUGUUGGGAAUAUUGUAGAUCUGGAAUGUGGAGAACAAUCUAUUCUCUGGAAGUAUACCUGCAAAAUUGCUGAGUGUUCCAAAUUUUAGGCUACUUGGAGGUACAAAUGCUCAAGAAGUUAGAGCAAUGGUUCUUGAUAUGCAAGCAAGGUUGUUGCUGGGUAUGGUGGGGAGAGGAAUUGCAGCAGCUUUGAUAAAUCCUUCGUCUUUAGUACCAGAGCCAUGGCAGGCAUCUGGUGAGAUGUUAUUUGGCAUUGAUCCUUAAAUAAUAGAAUUUUGAACUAUUUUUUUCAAUUUGAUCCGUGUUACCUAAUAAUAGAAUUCUGAACUAUUUUUUUUCAAUUUAUUUAUAAAUCUGUAGGAUUAGAAUGGAACUCCUUAUAAAUUUGAAAUAACAGGAGUGAACUUAUUCAAUCUAUAUUGCCACUGUAAAUUGUUUGUUCAAUCUCUAAAGGAAGCUAGAAGCUUGAGUGGUUUAUUUACCAUCUGAUCUAUGUGGUUAGCAUAAGCUUUGACAAAUUUUAUUUGCGGUUUCCAUUUCCUUUAUUUAUGAAUUUCUUUAGUUAAUUGUUUUUUUAUUUUUUAUUUUUAUAUUCUUUACAGUUUUACACUUUCACUUAGCACAGAGUCUUUUAUUUCUAGAGUAUUUUUCUAUGACUCUAAAACCAUACAACAAAUUUACACCCUUAAGCUGUGGUAUAGGCCUUGUUGUACUUUCUUGUUUUAGAUGAUUUUAGUGCCUGUGGGGUACCAAGUAAAAGAGAAUUUGGUUUAAUCCAAACAAAUCAUAUUUGUCAAAGCAAUCACAACUAGUUUGAAUUCAAUCUUUUUAUAUUUUGAUCACGAAAUAUACUCGAGAUGUAUUGAGGAAGAAUAUUCCAUAACUUUUCGUAGAUAGAAAUAAUUUAAUUUACUUUUGUGAUUUGAAUUCUUAUGUACUUGAUACUUCUAAAGUUUGUUCCUCUCUCUCUUUCUCUAAUGGUCUCUUUUUAAUUAAUACAGAACUUGAUAUUUCUUUCUUUUUUUUUUUUUUGAAUUUUUCCAUUUCUUUUUGGAUUUUAAGCUAGUCUGCAAUGGUAUUGUUUUACCUAACUUGAGACAUGGAGUUUGUUAGUUGCUUAUAUAGAAUGCUCAUGUUAGGCUAGGAGCUCAGAAACCCCCUUUUUUUUUUUUUUUUUUUUUUGUGUUGUUGUCUCUUUUAUUGCUAACCUAGAAAAUCACAACUUGUAGAUUUUAAACUUUUGUGAGGAAGUCUUUUGUCACCCAUGUUUAGUGAAUUAGAAACUGAUUUUUUUUCUCUUUUUUUGUGGUAUAUGUAUCUGCAUGAGAUCUGUUCACCAAAAUUUCAAGUCUGUGAAUCUUCUCCUUAAUGACAAGCUUGAAUUACGUGUUUCAGACUGCAGUUUGGCUCCUCUACUAUUGUCUGGUUCUGCGUGUCAGGUAAUAUUGUGUAUGAUAUUUAAAUCCUGCUGAUAUAAAAUGCUACAAAUUACUAUUAUUGAUUGAUGUUUUCUGAAGACGUUUUCAUAGGAUUGUUCAUAUUCUUCCACUACUGUAUAGUGCAAAGUCAUAUUUUCAGAUGUCUUAGCAUAUUGUAUAGUGAUGGUCUCAUCCUUCACCACUGUAGGACUGACAUAAUGUGUUUGAGUCCAAACUGACUUGAUCCAACCCGUCGACACCCCUAGAUAUGAAGACCAUUUUGUUCCUUUCUAAAUGCGGGGCCUUUCAUUUGAGUAAUAUUAUUGUCCCUUCAAAAAAUUUUCUUUUCAAGAGCUUUUAGCAGGUGCUUCAUAACUUAUUAGAUUUUUUCAAUUAAAAAGAUUUUUUCUGAAGAUGUUUUCAUAGGCUUUUUCAGUUUCUUCCACUACUGUAUAGUGCAAAGUCAUAUUUUCUGAUGUCUUAGCAUAUUGUUACUUUUUUGCUUAUGGGCAGUUUGGGUAAUUUUUUAUAUCAUAAAUGGUCACUCUAUGUUUUGUUUUAAGUCAUUGUCAUGCUAGUUCUGGUAUGUUCUAGUGCUUCCACAAGCUCAAAGUCAACUUUUGAGGAAAAGUUCCUUUCAUAGCAGUCUCAAACUUCAGGUUUGUUGCUCUUUGCAAUCUCUUUUUACAGUGUUUGGUUUAUGAUGCUGCCAUGGCUCAUGAGACUAGGAAUUUUAAGUUAUGUGGUGCAUUUUUUCAUAUGUAACUUGUAGAUUGUGGUUGUUUGUUAGUAGCAAGCUUACAACAAGGUGAAAUGGCAUCGUUGCCAUUUUAAUGGCUUGGAAGGGGUUAUUUUUGCUAUAUAAUGUGUUUCAUGGAGACAUAUUGGCCAUUUCAAUAGUAUUGGGGAAAUAUUUCAGCAAGUCAAGGGGUUUUUAGGAGGCAUGUUGUCCAUUUACAUGGUUGUGGAGUAGUAUUUUCGCAACUUAAGGAGUUUUGAAAGGGCAGUUUGGACAUGUCAUUGAAUUUCGCGAGGUACUUUCUAAUUAUUGUGUUUUUAGGGAGAAGUUUGGUCAUUUUAAGGGUUUUGGUUGUAUAGUUUUGCAUUUUAAUGAGUUUUGGGUCGGAUUUUGGCCAUUUUAAUGAAUUUAGCUACAGAGUGAAUUUUGGUGAUUUUAACGCUUUUGGAUGAGAAUUUAAGCAGUUUAAUGGGUUUAGAGGGGGCAGUUUGCUCAUUUGAAUGA